RNAcentral lists this ribosomal RNA (458 nucleotides) under uncultured bacterium. RNAcentral describes it as "partial 16S ribosomal RNA". It matches the Rfam family "Bacterial small subunit ribosomal RNA", at positions 338 to 795 of the family's 1533-position model. The record is from RNAcentral.
CCUACGGGAGGCAGCAGUGAGGAAUAUUGGUCAAUGGGCGAGAGCCUGAACCAGCCAAGUCGCGUGAGGGAGUACUGCCCUAUGGGUUGUAAACCUCUUUUGUCGGGGAGCAAAAGCCGGACGUGUCCGGCUGUGAGAGUACCCGAAGAAAAAGCAUCGACUAACUCCGUGCCAGCAGCCGCGGUAAUACGGAGGAUGCGAGCGUUAUCCGGAUUUAUUGGGUUUAAAGGGUGCGCAGGCGGAUUUUUAAGUCAGCGGUAAAAUCGUGGGGCUCAACCCCAUCCAGCCGUUGAAACUGGGGAUCUAGAGUGUGCGAGAGGUAUGCGGAAUGCGUGGUGUAGCGGUGAAAUGCAUAGAUAUCACGCAGAACCCCGAUUGCGAAGGCAGCAUACCGGUGCACAACUGACGCUCAGGCACGAAAGCGUGGGUAUCGAACAGGAUUAGAUACCCCAGUAGUC